RNAcentral lists this microRNA precursor (193 nucleotides) under Gossypium raimondii (Peruvian cotton). RNAcentral's name for it is "miR8750 stem-loop (gra-MIR8750)". The record is from miRBase by way of RNAcentral. Lineage: Eukaryota; Viridiplantae; Streptophyta; Magnoliopsida; Malvales; Malvaceae.
AAGGCCAUGGUCUUAGUUGGCAUAUACUCAAGGAGCACGCAGAAGGGAGACAAGCAACCCAGAGUGAAGCAUGUGUCCAGCAUGCCUGAAGUCCGCUCAGAAUGUCAGUCCUAAGAAAAAUGGGUCAAGUCAUGAAAAGUGGUCUCCCUUCUGCGAGCUCAUUGAGUAUAUGCGAACUGAGACCGCGGUCUUC